This is a long non-coding RNA of Dermochelys coriacea (leatherback sea turtle), 2531 nucleotides long. RefSeq lists it as uncharacterized. NCBI's taxonomy places the organism in Eukaryota, Metazoa, Chordata, Testudines, Dermochelyidae. The record is from RefSeq and is a predicted model, not a curated record. The transcript is spliced from 2 exons.
GCCGAGCGCCUCCCUCUCGCUCCGCACAACCAAACAGCUCCACCCCGGCUCCCGCCAACCGCCGCCUCACGGUCCCCCAACCCCGCUGUGCAGGGAGCUGCAGCCUCCGUUCCGGCCCAAUCAGAACGUUCGCUGCCCGCUCCCCAAACCAGCCGCUGGACCCUCCUCUGGCCUCGCGCCACCGCACCUUCAGGCCACGCCUACCCCUUUUAAAGGGCGUUUAACCCCCCCCCCUCCCGCCGAGGGUUGUAUGGGUGUGGUGAGGGCUCCCCUCGAGUCCCCACGCCCCGAAUGGAGAGAAGGCUGCGCAGCGGGAGCGGGAGCCAGAUAAUGGGUGUUGACACGGGAAAGAAGAGGACCCUGUAAAGUGGAGAAAGAAGCGCAGAAAAUCCAGCCGGGAGCAGGCGCAGUCGUUGCAGGGCCGAGCUGCGGCCUGAGACCAUCAACUGCACCAAGACGUCAUCAGAACAGUGGCGUGUGCGCCUACCAGACUGAGAACAAUAAUCGCCAGGGCAUCGCAGCCUGAUGUACCAACCUCACCACAGCAAAGCUCACAUGUGGUUCAGCCCUGAAAGAAGUUGGGGCUAAGGACUGUCGCCCCCCCCCCCCAUGCGGAAUACUGACAUAGCCUAUAUCGCACCGCCCCCCUCCCCCGUGACUCAUAGAGACUCCACAGCCGCAGGUGACACUAGCCAAACUUCUGCCACACGCCCUUCCCCUCCCACGCAUUAGCCACGAUUCCUGGUGCAGGGCUCCAAUGUGUUGAUUCAUUUGCUUCUCCUACUCUAUAGAGAUCAACUAUUUAUUUCAGAAGGUGAAGAAAGCUAGGAGGGGAGAGGCUGUUCUAGAUUUGAUUUCGACAGAGGGACGAACUGGUUUUGAACAUGAAAGUGGAAAGCAGCUUGAGUGAAAGUGAUCAUGAAAUGGUACAGUUCAUGAGUCUAAGAAAUGGCAGGAGCCACAACAGCAAAAUAAAGACAACAGAUUUCAAGAAGGCAGACUUUAGCAAACUCAGGAAGUUUGUAGGGCUAAGGUCCCACCAAAGUGGAAAUCAAGAUGGACCCAUAACUAGGAUGCCUCCAGAUGAUACAGAUUUAAUGAAUAAGCCCCUGGAAGUACGUGCAUUCAUCUUGUAGAUGAUGAAGCCAGUCAGCUCAGUUCCUAACAGUCAACCAUCGUAUCUGGAAAAAGAUCUCAGUGCCUCUGCAACAGCCCUGGGAACACCCAUGAUUAGUGUGCAUGUAGCACAGGUGUUUUCUACCAUCAGUCCUCCAAAGAUUCUCAAGAUUAAACCUGAGUUGAGGUAUAAUCUACCCCAUCCCAUCAAGGGAAAAGGAGCGGUUCUUUCUAUAUCCCGGCACAGGUUAAGAGCAGAUGUAGCAUGUUCAUAGCUUGACCCACAAACACACCAUCCUUUAUUAGAGUGACAGGAUAUGAACUACUAAUAAAAUGAGGUUAAAAAGUUUGGGAAACAAGUUAGGAGAAACUGAUAGGAUUAGAAAGGGAAAGCAAAGAGAUAAGAGGUGUGGAAUAGAAGGAAUACAGGAGAUUUGGGGAAGCAAAAAGUGGGUGGCUGCAGGUAGGCUGAGCAGUCAAUACAUUGCUGCUGGAGCUAUAUUUUGUACAGCAGAAUUUGAUAGCUCAAGCAUACGUCUCAUAGGCUGAAGCAGCAGCAUGGUCAGAAACUCUAAAGCUUUGUCUACACUAGCACUUUUGUCCACCCAGGGUGUGAAAAAACACACACACCCCCCUUUUGUUUCACUGACAAAAGUGCUGGUAUGGACAGUGCUAUGUUGGCAGAACGGCUCUCUCCUGCUGGCAUAGAGUGGCUACACAGGAGACCUUACAGUGGCACAGUGUAAGGUCCAUAGUGUAAACAUAACCUCUGGAGCACUCUGAUAGGGUUUGUAGCCUCCAUAGGAGUAGUGCUUUCAAGCUCUUCCAUCAAGGCAUGAAGGUACACAAGGUGGAGUAAGAGCCAAAGUUGUAGCAAGGUCUAAGGAAACAGCCCUCUGUCACCUGACUAGAAACCUAUUGCUGACCCUCCUAAGGGCCAGAAUUCUUCCAUUAUGUCCCUCUGCAGACAAAGGGUUCAGCUGUGUUCCAUGCUGGGGUACAACCCAAGCAGCAAACAUUUCCAAUUCCUGCCUCCCACUGCAUCAGAAUGGAAACUACUGCUCUCUGCCAGGACACCAGCUAAAACUUCCAAGAGAGCACUGCUACUCCAGUUUCAAUUCUCCAGUCACAACUGCUGUCCCCACAACUGGAGAAAGGAGGGAAAUGAACUCAGUUCUUCUGUCACAGCUUCCUUAUCGAGGCUAACUCUUGAUGCAAUAACACCUCAAUGCAACACUGCUCCUCCCGGGACACCACAGAACUCCUCAUUCAGCUGUGUCUCCACUGAGGCUUUGGUACAUCAGGGGCUCCCUAUGACAGAAAUUUCAGCGAAGCCAAUGAUCUGCUGAUGCUUCAUUACAGAAGAACUGGCAUACACUAGCCCAAGACCCCAUCCACAACCAGACAUGUCAAAC